UAUUUUUGGGGUUCAUUGGUGGGGGAAAAACUCAUGAAGCUUAUACACUGGCUCCUGAGUUCAGUAUCAAGUGAGGCAGAGACCACGUAGAUAAUACAGGAAUACUUUUAGAGGCGUUCUCCUGAUUAAGCGGAGAUGUCUUCGAUUCACGAAUCUCUGACAUUCAAGGAUGUGGCUGUGGAGUUCACCUUGGAAGAGUGGUGACACCUGGAUCCUGCCCAGAGGGCCCUGCACAGGAAUGUGAUGUUGGAGAACUAUGAAAACCUGGUCUCCAUAGGUAAGCAGAACCAGUCCCUGUGAAUCAGUGUCAGUAUGUUGGAAUUUUUGCAAGCUCAUUUGCUGUAGGCUAAGAAAGGUAUACAUAAAUGUUGUCUUAUUAGAUAAGAACACUUAAGGCCCCACGGAAGAUGAGAAUCCUGUAAUAAUUAAAAUUAGGUUAUGAGACUUCUAGUAGCUUUAUAAUUUCAUUAAAUCAUAGUAGUAGUAGUAGUAGUAUUAAAGAGAGGGAAAGGUAGGAAAGAGGUAGAAAGUUACUUAGCUUUCUACUCUAUUGGUGGCCAUGAUGUAUUGAAGCUGAGGAAAGACAAGAGUUCCUUCAGCUUCCAUGCUCCAGCCAGAAGACUCCAAAGACGGCUUGUUCUUCCAUUUAUGAGCUGUUUUCUCCACCCACUAGCUCUCACACAUCACAUUUCCAGAACCAACCAUAAUUUCUUAAUUUUCCUGAGCCACCCAAGGGGGCCAAUGUCUAUGCAAUAAUUUCCUUUCCUGUUGGUUCCUUAACUUCCUUUCUCUGAGGUCUUGUCUAUACUUGAAUUAGUUAGUGGUGUUCGACCUCCAGGUCACUGAGUUAUGUCAUUUAAAUAAAAGACAUCAUAAUGGAGAGAGAAAUUCUUUUCCAACAAUCCCAUAUCUUUUGUGGCCAGUAGGCAAAAUGUUUCUGUUCGGUGUUUCUGGGAAAGAGGUCUUUGCUUUGUAUGAAUUGAGCUCCUCUGGCUCCUUUCCUCUGAUGGGAUUCCCGUUUCCAAACUAGAUUUGCUCUUCCUGUUGAAGAGAGAAGAUGUACAGAAUGAAGAGGGAGAAGCUGGGACAGGAACUUCUACAGGUGAGUCGUUGAAAAGCAGCUGCUCCUUCCCCAUUAAAUUUUCUUCCCCUCCUUUUAGAUUAAUGGUCUUGAUGGGAUCAGUCCUGGGUCUAGGCAAUCAGUCAGUAGCAUUGAUUAAGCAUCUUCUAUGUUCUGAUCCUGAGGAUAGAAGUGUGGUGGGGAUCCAAGUCACCUAAAAAAUUUACUACCCACAAAGAGAAGGGAAGAGGCAGGCCAUGCUGUCAAGAAGCUCAGGAUCUAGAAUACAACAUAGAAAUGGUGUGAGAAGCAGCAGCAGAUCAUGAACCACACUCUUGGCUGUUCUUGGGAAGAGUGUUUUGGAAUGGAAAUCCAUUUAGUUCAACAGGAAAUGAGGGAAUGGAAGCAUGACGACAUUAACAUUUUUAAGUAAGAGUAGAGUUAGGGAGUGAAUAGUCAAAAUAAGAAUAACAAUGAAAAAACUAAUAGCUGUCUUUUACUCAGCCUACUGUGUGCCAGGCAUUUUCUAAAUCUUAUUUGAUCCUCGUAUAAAGGAGGUCGGGGAUAUUAUGAUGUUCAUUUUACAGAUGAAGAAGCUGAAGCUGACUCGUCCAGGGUCACAGUACUAGCCAGGUUCUGUGGUGGAAUUAGAAUUCAGGUCUUCCUGACCUCUCUUGGUGUUCUGCCCACUGAACCACUAUCUGUAUUCUCAUUUUUAAGUAGAUAACUGAGCGUGCUGAUAUAUAGAUGAGAGAAAAAAUAGGAGGUGAAUUGUUGAAGUUCUUUUACUGAGGGAUGGAAAUUCGUUCUUUGUUUUUAGCUCCCCAACCAAUCAACAAAAUGAAUUGAUUGUUAAUAUAUUUAAAGGUGCAUUUUUCUAUUGGCUCAUUACAAGUAAUGUAUUGAAUGAUAAAUUUACAUGAAGGUUACUUGUAUAUUACAUUUUUCCUUUUUUAAAAGUGUUAAUAAAUAAACAUCUAGGUGGCUCA
This is a long non-coding RNA of Monodelphis domestica (gray short-tailed opossum), 2049 nucleotides long. Lineage: Eukaryota; Metazoa; Chordata; Mammalia; Didelphimorphia; Didelphidae. The record is from Ensembl.